UCGUGCCGUGGGCGACGAGGUCGACGCCCGCGAGCUCGGACCACGAGCCGAGGAGUUCGUUCAGUCCGGGCUGCUCGAGCCA
This 82-nucleotide transfer RNA is filed under the name Luteimicrobium album. Its description in RNAcentral is "tRNA-Pro". The record is from RNAcentral. Lineage: Bacteria; Bacillati; Actinomycetota; Actinomycetes; Micrococcales.